Molecule: ribosomal RNA, 1372 nt
Filed under: uncultured bacterium
Lineage: Bacteria
Description: bacterial SSU rRNA
Rfam family: Bacterial small subunit ribosomal RNA
Source: RNAcentral
GAUGAACGCUGGCGGCGUGCCUAAUACAUGCAAGUCGAGCGAACGGACGAGAAGCUUGCUUCUCUGAUGUUAGCGGCGGACGGGUGAGUAACACGUGGAUAACCUACCUAUAAGACUGGGAUAACUUCGGGAAACCGGAGCUAAUACCGGAUAAUAUUUUGAACCGCAUGGUUCAAAAGUGAAAGACGGUCUUGCUGUCACUUAUAGAUGGAUCCGCGCUGCAUUAGCUAGUUGGUAAGGUAACGGCUUACCAAGGCAACGAUGCAUAGCCGACCUGAGAGGGUGAUCGGCCACACUGGAACUGAGACACGGUCCAGACUCCUACGGGAGGCAGCAGUAGGGAAUCUUCCGCAAUGGGCGAAAGCCUGACGGAGCAACGCCGCGUGAGUGAUGAAGGUCUUCGGAUCGUAAAACUCUGUUAUUAGGGAAGAACAUAUGUGUAAGUAACUGUGCACAUCUUGACGGUACCUAAUCAGAAAGCCACGGCUAACUACGUGCCAGCAGCCGCGGUAAUACGUAGGAGGCAAGCGUUAUCCGGAAUUAUUGGGCGUAAAGCGCGCGUAGGCGGUUUUUUAAGUCUGAUGUGAAAGCCCACGGCUCAACCGUGGAGGGUCAUUGGAAACUGGAAAACUUGAGUGCAGGAGAGGAAAGUGGAAUUCCAUGUGUAGCGGUGAAAUCCGCAGAGAUAUGGAGGAACACCAGUGGCGAAGGCGACUUUCUGGUCUGUAACUGACGCUGAUGUGCGAAAGCGUGGGGAUCAAACAGGAUUAGAUACCCUGGUAGUCCACGCCGUAAACGAUGAGUGCUAAGUGUUAGGGGGUUUCCGCCCCUUAGUGCUGCAGCUAACGCAUUAAGCACUCCGCCUGGGGAGUACGACCGCAAGGUUGAAACUCAAAGGAAUUGACGGGGACCCGCACAAGCGGUGGAGCAUGUGGUUUAAUUCGAAGCAACGCGAAGAACCUUACCAAAUCUUGACAUCCUUUGACAACUCUAGAGAUAGAGCCUUCCCCUUCGGGGGGCAAAGUGACAGGUGGUGCAUGGUUGUCGUCAGCUCGUGUCGUGAGAUGUUGGGUUAAGUCCCGCAACGAGCGCAACCCUUAAGCUUAGUUGCCAUCAUUAAGUUGGGCACUCUAAGUUGACUGCCGGUGACAAACCGGAGGAAGGUGGGGAUGACGUCAAAUCAUCAUGCCCCUUAUGAUUUGGGCUACACACGUGCUACAAUGGACAAUACAAAGGGCAGCGAAACCGCGAGGUCAAGCAAAUCCCAUAAAGUUGUUCUCAGUUCGGAUUGUAGUCUGCAACUCGACUACAUGAAGCUGGAAUCGCUAGUAAUCGUAGAUCAGCAUGCUACGGUGAAUACGUUCCCGGGUCU